Leptonychotes weddellii (Weddell seal) is the source of this 3970-nucleotide non-coding RNA. NCBI's taxonomy places the organism in Eukaryota, Metazoa, Chordata, Mammalia, Carnivora, Phocidae. The record is from RefSeq and is a predicted model, not a curated record.
UGUCUCUCAUUCUCUCUCUCUCAAAUAAAAAAAAAAAAAAGAAAAGGCUGCAACCCUUCCCUGGGGUACCUGCCUCUUCCCAUCCUCCCUGUGUCCCUUACCUUCCCGUAGUGGGGGCAACUCCGAGGUCCUGCCACAGAGAAGCCUCAUGGGUCCCGGAAGCCCACCUGUUGAGCACCCAGCCAGAUGAGCUGUGGCUGCCCCAACCAGAGGUUGGGCACACAUGCAGGCAGAGAGGCAGGUGCCCUGGUUGGAGCUGGUGCUUCAGGUCUUCCAAGGGGUGGGGGUGGGGUCCAACCUCUGGGGGCCAGCCCGCCCUAUGCCUUGCAGGGAGACCACCUGGUGGGGAAGUAUUGUUGUCUGCUGUGUCCGAAGGAGUUCAGCUCUGAGAGUGGCGUCAAAUAUCACAUCCUCAAGACCCAUGCAGAGAACUGGUUUCGUACUUCGGCAGACCCACUUCCCAAACACAGGAGCCAGGACUCACUGGCACCCAAGAAGGAGGAGAAGAAGAGUCUGGCGGGCGGAAAGAAGCGAGGCCGAAAGCCCAAGGAGCGGACCCCUGAGGAGCCCGCGCCCAAGAUGCCCCCCUGUCGGGACGACUGGCCGCCAGGAGGCAGAGACAAGGGGGCCCGGGGCUCCACUGGCCGGAAGAUGGGAGCCAGCAAGGCCCCUGAGAAGUGAGCGUGGUGGCUGGCAGGUGGGUGGGGCCUGGCCCCCACACUGGACACCAGGUCCACUCUGUUGAGGGCGGGGGUAGCUGGCUCCAGCACCUUCUGCUCUCCAGUUCUCCAUCCCCCACCCCUGCCUGUUCAUCUGUCCAGUGGAGGCAGCCAGCCCCUCUCUCCUACCUGAAGGUGGCCCCCCCCCGGUGCAGGCUGUGGAGGGCACACAGGGCUGGGGGUCCCUUGGGGGAGGGCCUGUGGCAGUAACAGACGCCCAGUAGUGUGCAGGGACAUUCACAGGCCUGGCAGAGUCGGGGGCCCCGGGUGGGCAGGAGGAGGGUCUGCAGCUUAGGCCUCAGGGCCACGGGGCGGUGCAGGGCAGGCAAAGGGCCUUCACCGUGUGAGCUCCAUGCCCCGUCUGCUUUCUCAGGCCCAAGGCUUGGGGGUCCUUGGUGACCCAUGGUUCUGGGCUGAUGAGGGCACCUGAGCAGCCUCACCUCUCCACCCGACACUGGACCCCAGCACCCCCAGCUACCUCCCAGGACAGACCCUGAGUCUGACUGCUACCGUGCUGACCUGACAGCCUGCCCCACCAUGGCCUCCCUUGUCCUUCCGCCUCUGGGUCCUCUGCUUCUGUUCUCUACCUCUCCAGGCCUGCCCUCCCCUGCCUGUGCAACCCUCGCUGUGCUUGGGCCCCUGCCCCACUGGCCCCUGUCCGUCAUGGUGGGUGGACUCUCUGCCAUCCCAUCUCCAUGGGUGCUCCCUGCCUGGGGCGAGGGGAGGGUUCUGGUCUGACCUGCAGGGCUGCAGGAGCAGGGGGUGAGGGGGCCACGGUGGAGCACAGCUUUGCCUCCAAUCUCCAGCUUCGCUAAUGCCACUGCUCUAGGUUGGGGCAAGUCCAAUGGGUUAGAGAUGGGCCAAUCUAGGCUCUGGGGUCAGCCUGGGGCCCACAGGCAUGUGGGGUGGGGAACUGGGGCCCAGCCCUGAGGAGUAAUCCCUGUGGGAAUCAGCCUUCUGUCUGCUGGUCUGGGUUGGCUUGUAGCUAGGCUCCCAUGGGAGUCCCCAUCCCCCCUUUUUUACCUGCCCUUUUGUUUCUGGUUGUGUGGUCUUUUGAUAGGAGAGCUAAAGGCCAGGGAGGGAGCUUGGCCAAGGUCACAUUGUGUUGGUGGCAGCUCUGCAGCUCUGUGUUGGGCCCCGAAGGGGAUGGCUAGGUCUGCAGGUUGGCUAGGGUUCAGGCUGGAGCUCAGGGCACCCAGAGGAGGCGGCCACACUGCCUCUGGUCUCCUCCCUGGGCCCCACCUUCCAACUUUGGCAGUGUAGGGAGGAGGGGGAUCCUCAGAGCCCCUGGGUUUGGACAGAGGCUGUUUCCCACUGGGGGGCGGGGGUGGGCUGAGGGCUCGGUCUUGCCGAUCCUGGACGAUGUGAAUUUUGAUAUUUGCCUGUGUGCGUGUGUCUCCUGGGUGUAGUGGAUGCCAGUCUUGUUGCUGUGACAAGUAACAACCUUUUUUUUAUUCUGUUUUUUAUACAAAAACACAACAAUCUGACAUUUUGGUGCUAAGGGUUUCCUGGUGCCGACGGUGGAUCUGGGGACUGAGAGGGUGUCUCUCCCCUGCUCAGGGAGGCAGUGCUGACUGGGCACCUCUCUGCCCCCCCCACCCCCAGCUCCCGUCCUCAUCUAGUCCCAGGAGAGGAGAGGCUCCCAGUCGGGCUCAGCUCUCCUAGCUCUGCAGUAAGGAGACAGGUUCCAGGGGGGCCUCUGGGGCACGUCGUGCUGCCUGUCUCCAGCUUCUUCCUUUGGCCAAAAGGCACUGACUUGGGCAAUCCUGGCCUGAUGUGGUAGGGAGGGGGUGUAGAGACAUGGGCUACCCCCAGUCACACACACCUUGAUUUGAUCAAAGGGUAGAGGCAUGGGCAGAUGGGUGUGAUCCAGUGUCAAAGGUCAAGGGAGGGCAGUGUGGGCAGGGCUUUGGACUGCAUGGGCAGAAGGGUUUUCUUUUCCAUGUUCUGGGUGUCACUAUGGUGUACAGCUGGUGGGGGCAGAGCUGGGGUCAGGCAGCCACUUUAGGGGCAGCCUUGGGCAGGGCUGGCAGGAGCCCUAGGUGCAUUUUGUCCUUGUCACCAGUGGCUGGAGGAGGUUGGACCUCAACACCUCUGCUGGGGACGGCCGUCCGCCCCAGCCUCUCAGGUACUUGGCCCUUGGGGAGUGGGGGGCUGGUUUUUUGCUGGGGGGUGAGUUUCCAGGUCGCCCCCUGAAGUCCACAGAUGGUCCCUGGUUUGGGAACCCCGCCGAGAUGUGUGGGAAGAGGUGGGGUCCUGGGUAACUUGAUGUUUAGCACUUUAACCCCCUUCUUUGUCUUUAAAGUGGGUGUGGGGAGCUGCUGCCAAACGUGGCUGUUGGGUCGGACCCCUCUCUCCCUUCUUCCUUUCCUGCUUCCCAUGCUCUGGUGAGUGGCAGUGGUGAGCUGGUCGGCAGAGCCCUCCUCCAAAGGGGGCAGAGCUCUGGGGGGCUCAGCAGGAUCUGCCCAUCUCCCACUCUGGUGGGCGUUCAGCCAGGUAACCACCUGGCCUUGAUUGACACCUUCAAUGAGAGGGACUGGCGUGGCAGACCCCCCGGGGCAUGAUGGGCACGGACCCUGCCCAAGACCCAAGCCCAGGGCACAAUGCCAGGUCCCUUUCUGAAGAUCUACCUCUGGCCCCGCCCACCCCCUCCCCCACCCUGCCCUGAGAACAGGAAAGGGCCGACUCAAGGGGCUGACACUUCACACAAAAAUAGGAUGCACUUUAUUUGCUUGUGCAAAGGCAGAUGAGGGUGCAUCCUGGUGUGACCAGUGGCCCUCCCAGCCGUAGCCCCCAUCCUGUCCCUCCGGUUCAGAAGGGAGAGAACGGGUGCACCCUGAUCUGCGGAGGGCAGGGCUGUCCCGGUGUGUCCAGUUCGGUGGGCCCCAGGUGGCUUGCCCUGGAGGCCUGGGGUUCGGGGGCCUGGCCAGCACCUCUGGCCCGGCAACCACACAUCCUGUGCUUUGGGUUUCUUGGUUUGGGUUUUUUAAUGCCAGUUCUCCGUACAUAAGUGCAUUUUGAAAGAGAGGUUCCAGCUAUCACUUGUAACCAUAUAUAUACAUAUAUAUUCUAUCUACAAAGUGUUUAUUUGCAAGAUGUUUUGACGGUGAGCUCGGGCCCUGCCCACCUUGUGACCAUCUGUCCCCGGUCCUCGUCCCCGCCUCCCCGGCCCACAGUGGCGUGGGGGUGGGCCAUCAACUGUAUGUAUUAAAUAUGACUGUAUCAAAUAAAUGUUUAUUGAUUUUUUUCCA